RNAcentral lists this ribosomal RNA (340 nucleotides) under uncultured eukaryote. Its description in RNAcentral is "partial 18S ribosomal RNA". It matches the Rfam family "Eukaryotic small subunit ribosomal RNA", at positions 1470 to 1796 of the family's 1831-position model. The record is from RNAcentral.
CCCUUAGAUGUUCGGGGCCGCACGCGCGCUACACUGAAGGACUCAGCGUGUCUCUCCCCCUAUCCCGAAAGGGAUGGGCAACCCGUUGAACCUCCUUCGUGCUAGGGAUUGGGGUUUGCAAUUAUCCCCCAUGAACGAGGAAUUCCCAGUAAGCGCGGGUCAUCAGCUCGCGUUGAUUACGUCCCUGCCCUUUGUACACACCGCCCGUCGCUACUACCGAUUGGAUGGUUUAGUGAGACCCUCGGAUCGGUCCCGACUCGGGGUGGGCUUCUGCCCCGGUCGUGGUUUCGCCGAGAAGACGGUCAAACUUGGCUAUCUAGAGGAAGUAAAAGUCGUAACA